Acanthosepion pharaonis is the source of this 97-nucleotide non-coding RNA. The record is from the annotation of a GenBank genome assembly. NCBI's taxonomy places the organism in Eukaryota, Metazoa, Mollusca, Cephalopoda, Sepiida, Sepiidae.
GUUGAAAAUCUGGUUCCCGUACGAGCACCGAAGUUAAGCAACGUCGAGACUGAUCAGUACCUACAUGGGUGACCGCUUCGGAAUACCAGGUGCUAUA